Molecule: transfer RNA, 65 nt
Filed under: Dipodomys ordii (Ord's kangaroo rat)
Lineage: Eukaryota; Metazoa; Chordata; Mammalia; Rodentia; Heteromyidae
Rfam family: tRNA
About the family: Transfer RNA (tRNA) molecules are approximately 80 nucleotides in length.
Source: Rfam by way of RNAcentral
GGUGGCUCAGUGGUAGAGUGCGUGCCUCUCAUACAUGAAGCCCUGGGUUCGAUUCCUCAGCACCA